RNAcentral lists this ribosomal RNA (531 nucleotides) under uncultured bacterium. Its description in RNAcentral is "bacterial SSU rRNA". It matches the Rfam family "Bacterial small subunit ribosomal RNA", at positions 1 to 518 of the family's 1533-position model. The record is from RNAcentral.
GUGCCUUGGAGUCUCAGAGAAUUGAUCUUGGUCAGGAUGAACGCUAGCUACAGGCUAACACAUGCAAGUCGAGGGGCAGCAUUGGAGUAGCAAUACUCAGAUGGCGACCGGCGCACGGGUGAGUAACACGUAUCCAACCUGCCGCUUACUCGGGGAUAGCCUUUCGAAAGAAAGAUUAAUACCCGAUGGUAUAAAGAGUUCGCAUGUUCUCUUUAUUAAAGAAUUUCGGUAAGCGAUGGGGAUGCGUUCCAUUAGAUAGUUGGCGGGGUAACGGCCCACCAAGUCUACGAUGGAUAGGGGUUCUGAGAGGAAGGUCCCCCACAUUGGAACUGAGACACGGUCCAAACUCCUACGGGAGGCAGCAGUGAGGAAUAUUGGUCAAUGGACGAGAGUCUGAACCAGCCAAGUAGCGUGAAGGAUGACUGCCCUAUGGGUUGUAAACUUCUUCUAUAAGGGAAUAAAGUGAGGGACGUGUCCCUUUUUGUAUGUACCUUAUGAAUAAGGAUCGGCUAACUCCGUGCCAGCCGCAGC